This 468-nucleotide ribosomal RNA is filed under the name uncultured bacterium. RNAcentral describes it as "partial 16S ribosomal RNA". It matches the Rfam family "Bacterial small subunit ribosomal RNA", at positions 28 to 507 of the family's 1533-position model. The record is from RNAcentral.
GACGAACGCUGGCGGCGUGCUUAACACAUGCAAGUCGAACGGAAAGGCCCUGCUUUUGUGGGGUGCUCGAGUGGCGAACGGGUGAGUAACACGUGAGUAACCUGCCCUUGACUUUGGGAUAACUUCAGGAAACUGGGGCUAAUACCGGAUAGGAGCUCCUGCUGCAUGGUGGGGGUUGGAAAGUUUCGGCGGUUGGGGAUGGACUCGCGGCUUAUCAGCUUGUUGGUGGGGUAGUGGCUUACCAAGGCUUCGACGGGUAGCCGGCCUGAGAGGGUGACCGGCCACAUUGGGACUGAGAUACGGCCCAGACUCGUACGGGAGGCAACAGUGGGGAAUAUUACACAAUGGGCGGAAGCCUGAUGCAGCAACGCCGCGUGCGGGAUGACGGCCUUCGGGUUGUAAACCGCUUUCGCCUGUGACGAAGCGUGAGUGACGGUAAUGGGUAAAGAAGCACCGGCUAACUACGUG